RNAcentral lists this ribosomal RNA (484 nucleotides) under uncultured bacterium. RNAcentral's name for it is "partial 16S ribosomal RNA". It matches the Rfam family "Bacterial small subunit ribosomal RNA", at positions 28 to 523 of the family's 1533-position model. The record is from RNAcentral.
GAUGAACGCUGGCGGCGUGCUUAACACAUGCAAGUCGAACGGUGAAGCAUGAGCUUGCUCUUGUGGAUCAGUGGCGAACGGGUGAGUAACACGUGAGCAACCUGCCCCUGACUCUGGGAUAAGCGCUGGAAACGGCGUCUAAUACUGGAUAUGUGAUGUGACCGCAUGGUCUGCAUCUGGAAAGAAUUUCGGUUGGGGAUGGGCUCGCGGAGUAUCAGCUUGUUGGUGAGGUAAUGGCUCACCAAGGCGUCGACGGGUAGCCCGCCUGUGAGGGUGAACGGACACACUGGGAAGGAGGCACGGCCCAGGCGCCUGCGGGAGGCAGCAGUGGGGGAUAUUGCACAAUGGGCGGAAGCCUGAUGCAGCAACGCCUCGUGAGGGAUGACGGCCUUCGGGUGGUAAACCUCUUUUAGCAGGGAAGAAGCGAAAGUGACGGUACCUGCAGAAAAAGCACCGGCUAACUACGUGCCAGCCGCCGCCGUAA